GUGUCAGCAGCCGCGGUAAGACGAACCGUGCGAACGUUGUUCGGAUUCACUGGGCUUAAAGGGCGCGUAGGCGGAUGGCCAAGUCAAGGGUGAAAGCCCCCGGCCCAACCGGGGAAGUGCCUCUGAUACUGGUCAUCUCGAGCGGGAUAGGGGCAGCUGGAACUUCCGGUGGAGCGGUGAAAUGCGUAGAUAUCGGAAGGAACGCCGGUGGCGAAAGCGAGCUGCUGGAUCCCUCCUGACGCUGAGGCGCGAAAGCCAGGGGAGCGAACGGGAUUAGAUACCCCUGUAGUCC
This 292-nucleotide ribosomal RNA is filed under the name uncultured bacterium. RNAcentral describes it as "partial 16S ribosomal RNA". It matches the Rfam family "Bacterial small subunit ribosomal RNA", at positions 505 to 796 of the family's 1533-position model. The record is from RNAcentral.